Molecule: ribosomal RNA, 326 nt
Filed under: uncultured soil bacterium
Lineage: Bacteria
Description: bacterial SSU rRNA
Rfam family: Bacterial small subunit ribosomal RNA
Source: RNAcentral
AGAUUGAACGCUGGCGGCAUGCUUUACACAUGCAAGUCGAACGGCAGCACGGGGGCAACCCUGGUGGCGAGUGGCGAACGGGUGAGUAAUGCAUCGGAACGUAUCUUUAAGUGGGGGAUAACGCAUCGAAAGAUGCGCUAAUACCGCAUAAUCUCUGAGGAGAAAAGCGAGGGGAUCGCAAGACCUUGCGCUUUUGGAGCGGCCGAUGUCUGAUUAGCUAGUUGGUGGGUAAAGGCUUACCAAGGCUUCGAUCAGUAGCUGGUCUGAGAGGACGACCAGCCACACGUGGGACUGGACGACGACGGUCCCAGGACCUCCGUACGGGA